This 393-nucleotide ribosomal RNA is filed under the name uncultured bacterium. RNAcentral's name for it is "partial 16S ribosomal RNA". It matches the Rfam family "Bacterial small subunit ribosomal RNA", at positions 523 to 918 of the family's 1533-position model. The record is from RNAcentral.
AUACGGAGGAUGCGAGCGUUAUCCGGAUUUAUUGGGUUUAAAGGGAGCGUAGGCGGACGCUUAAGUCAGUUGUGAAAGUUUGCGGCUCAACCGUAAAAUUGCAGUUGAUACUGGGUGUCUUGAGUACAGUAGAGGCAGGCGGGAUUUCGGGUGUAGGGGUGAAAUGCUUAGAUAUUACGAAGAACUCCGAUUGCGAAGGCAGCCUGCUGGACUGUAACUGACGCUGAUGCUCGAAAGUGUGGGUAUCAAACAGGAUUAGAUACCCUGGUGGUCCACACAGUAAACGAUGAAUACUCGCUGUUUGCGAUAUACAGUAAGCGGCCAAGCGAAAGCGUUAAGUAUUCCACCUGGGGAGUACGCCGGCAACGGUGAAACUCAAAUGAAUUGACGGGG